CCUACGGGUGGCAGCAGUGGGGAAUAUUGGACAAUGGGGGGAACCCUGAUCCAGCCAUGCCGCGUGUGUGAAGAAGGCUCUCGGGUUGUAAAGCACUUUCAGUGAGGAAGAACGCCUGGUGGUUAAUACCCAUCAGGAAAGACAUCACUCACAGAAGAAGCACCGGCUAACUCCGUGCCAGCAGCCGCGGUAAUACGGAGGGUGCGAGCGUUAAUCGGAAUUACUGGGCGUAAAGCGCGCGUAGGUGGCUUGAUAAGCCGGUUGUGAAAGCCCCGGGCUCAACCUGGGAACGGCAUCCGGAACUGUCAAGCUAGAGUGCAGGAGAGGAAGGUAGAAUUCCCGGUGUAGCGGUGAAAUGCGUAGAGAUCGGGAGGAAUACCAGUGGCGAAGGCGGCCUUCUGGACUGACACUGACACUGAGGUGCGAAAGCGUGGGUAGCAAACAGGAUUAGAUACCCCGGUAGUC
Molecule: ribosomal RNA, 465 nt
Filed under: Vreelandella stevensii
Lineage: Bacteria; Pseudomonadati; Pseudomonadota; Gammaproteobacteria; Oceanospirillales; Halomonadaceae
Description: partial 16S ribosomal RNA
Rfam family: Bacterial small subunit ribosomal RNA
Source: RNAcentral